CGCAUGAAGAUAAUUGUUUUUUUUGUCGAUGAUUAUUAUAUUAUUUGUCUUUGUGAUAACAAUAUCCAUUGGAUUUAAUGGUGUUUCUGAUGUACUGACAAUACUAUGACCUUUGUAUAUGAAUUUAACAACUCCAGAUCUUUCUAACGCGACAAUUUGUCCAUCUAAAUUUUCAAAGUGGUCAAUUGCAUAGAUGUGAUUAUGUAAAUCAGUGGAUAUUCUCCAGAUAUAACUAAACAAUUUUUUACCCUUUUGAUCGAAUUCGAUAUUAAGUUUUCGUUUGUUGUUUUCACCAAAUACGGCAAUUUGUCUGUUGCAGAAUUCUGUGACUGGAAAUGUGGACCCUUAUUCUCGUAGACCUAGGAUU
RNAcentral lists this long non-coding RNA (367 nucleotides) under Mytilus galloprovincialis (Mediterranean mussel). Lineage: Eukaryota; Metazoa; Mollusca; Bivalvia; Mytilida; Mytilidae. The record is from RNAcentral.